Molecule: ribosomal RNA, 709 nt
Filed under: Eucera pruinosa
Lineage: Eukaryota; Metazoa; Arthropoda; Insecta; Hymenoptera; Apidae
Description: SSU rRNA
Source: RNAcentral
CCGAGGCCCCGUAAUCGGAAUGAGUACACUUUAAAUCCUUUAACAAGGACCAAUUGGAGGGCAAGUCUGGUGCCAGCAGCCGCGGUAAUUCCAGCUCCAAUAGCGUAUAUUAAAGUUGUUGCGGUUAAAAAGCUCGUAGUUGAAUCUGUGUGUCACAGUGUCGGUUCACCGCUCGCGGUGUCUAACUGGCAUUAUGUGGUACGUCCUACCGGUGGGCUUAGCUCCUUGCGGGCGGUCCAACUAAUCUCCCAUCGCGGUGCUCUUCACUGAGUGUCGAGGUGGGCCGGUACGUUUACUUUGAACAAAUUAGAGUGCUCAAAGCAGGCUACCUUCGCCUGAAUACUGCGUGCAUGGAAUAAUGGAAUAGGACCUCGGUUCUAUUUUGUUGGUUUUCGGAACCCCGAGGUAAUGAUUAAUAGGGACAGAUGGGGGCAUUCGUAUUGCGACGUUAGAGGUGAAAUUCUUGGAUCGUCGCAAGACGGACUAAAGCGAAAGCAUUUGCCAAAAAUGUUUUCAUUAAUCAAGAACGAAAGUUAGAGGUUCGAAGGCNAUCAGAUACCGCCCUAGUUCUAACCAUAAACRAUGCCAGCUAGCGAUCCGCCGAAGUUCCUCCGAUGACUCGGCGGGCAGCUUCCGGGAAACCAAAGCUUUUGGGUUCCGGGGGAAGUAUGGUUGCAAAGCUGAAACUUAAAGGAAUUGACGGAAGGGC